RNAcentral lists this small nuclear RNA (329 nucleotides) under Felis catus (domestic cat). RNAcentral's name for it is "7SK RNA". It matches the Rfam family "7SK RNA". Rfam says of the family: 7SK was discovered as an abundant small nuclear RNA in the mid-70s but a possible function has only recently been suggested. Two independent studies have found that 7SK RNA binds the CDK9/cyclin T complex (known as elongation factor P-TEFb). The record is from Rfam by way of RNAcentral. Lineage: Eukaryota; Metazoa; Chordata; Mammalia; Carnivora; Felidae.
UGAAGUGGAGGUGAUCUGGCUGCAACAUCCAUCACCCCAUUGAUCGCCGGGGUUGGUUGGCUGAUCGGGCUGGCUAGGUGGGGGUCCCCUUCCUACUUCACCACUCCAUGAGUGUCCCUCCUGAAGUUGCCCUCUCGGUCUAAGAGGAUGACCUUCCCCAAUAGAGGAGGACCGUUCUCCAGUCAAGGGUAUACCAGUAGCUGCACUCCCCUGCUAGAACCUCCAAACAGGCACCCAAGAGUGAUUAUACUCUCUGAGCAUCUGUAAGCAAGCAAAUGGUUAGAUUGAGGAAGAUCAAGUUUAUACAAGACCUGAAUACCAGGGAUCCU